Molecule: ribosomal RNA, 906 nt
Filed under: uncultured bacterium
Lineage: Bacteria
Description: bacterial SSU rRNA
Rfam family: Bacterial small subunit ribosomal RNA
Source: RNAcentral
CAUAUGGAUUGUGUCAGCAGCCGCGCGGUAAUACGGGAGUGGCAAGCGUUAUCCGGAAUUAUUGGGCGUAAAGCGUCCGCAGGCGGCCCUUCAAGUCUGCUGUUAAAAGUGGAGCUUAACUCCAUCAUGGCAGUGGAAACUGUUGGGCUUGAGUGUGGUAGGGGCAGAGGGAAUUCCCGGUGUAGCGGUGAAAUGCGUAGAUAUCGGGAAGAACACCAGUGGCGAAGGCGUUCUGCUGGGCCAUCACUGACGCUCAUGGACGAAAGCCAGGGGAGCGAAAGGGAUUAGAUACCCCUGUAGUCCUGGCCGUAAACGAUGAACACUAGGUGUCGGGGGAAUCGACCCCCUCGGUGUCGUAGCCAACGCGUUAAGUGUUCCGCCUGGGGAGUACGCACGCAAGUGUGAAACUCAAAGGAAUUGACGGGGGCCCGCACAAGCGGUGGAACAUGUGGUUUAAUUCGACGCAACGCGAAGAACCUUACCUGGGUUUGACAUCCCCGGCCGACACCAGAGAUGGUGUUUUCUCUUCGGAGACCGGGUGACAGGUGCUGCAUGGCUGUCGUCAGCUCGUGUCGUGAGAUGUUGGGUUAAGUCCCGCAACGAGCGCAACCCUUGCCCUCAGUUGCCAGCAGUUCGGCUGGGCACUCUGGGGGGACUGCCGGUGACAAGCCGGAGGAAGGUGGGGAUGACGUCAAGUCCUCAUGGCCUUUAUAUCCAGGGCUACACACGUGUUACAAUGGGGGUCACAAAGGGCAGCGAAACGGUGACGUGGAGCGAAUCCCAAAAAAGCCCUCUCAGUUCGGAUCGCAGUCUGCAACUCGACUGCGUGAAGCUGGAAUCGCUAGUAAUCGCGGAUCAGCACGCCGCGGUGAAUACGUUCCCGGGCCUUGCACACACCGCCCGUCA